RNAcentral lists this long non-coding RNA (6648 nucleotides) under Homo sapiens (human). Its description in RNAcentral is "non-protein coding PAN3-AS1:6". The record is from RNAcentral. Lineage: Eukaryota; Metazoa; Chordata; Mammalia; Primates; Hominidae.
ACUCACUUGCCAGCCGCGGUCCAUCGAGUCCCCCGCUACUGCCUCCUCCGCCGGCUGCGGCUCCGGUCCCCGGGUCCCCCAGGUCCGGCUUCUUGGGCCCGGGGGGCGGCCCAGCUCCCCCGCCCGCGACGGCUCCCGGCGGAAAGCCGGCCACGGGUGCACCAGCCAGAGCCAGGGGGACGCUGUUGCUAUGGAGGCCGAGGCCCGGGGCAGCCCCGGCGGCAGGGUCCUCAUGCAGGAACUGACACUCCUCCCCGUAGAAGCAAGUCUUAUCCUUAGCGUAGUAGCGGCAGUACUUCAGCUUCACUCCUACCGCCGCCCCGCCGGGGACACCCCCGACCCCCGGCGGGGCCACCACCGCCACCGCCGCCGCCAGCGAGGAGGAGGAAGGGGAGGCGGCGGCCGAGGGGGGCGGGAGGCCGCCGCCACUGUUCAUGGCAACGCCGCAGCCUCGUCUUCCGCCGCCGCCCGAGGAGCCGCCGCCGCCACCACCAUAGACGGGGGAGGAAAGGAAGACGCUGCCGGUGCCGGAUAAAAGCCUGGGCGGGGGCCGCGCGGGACGACGGGGUGAGCGCGCGGGCCCAGACGGGGACUUCGAGGGCGCGGGCAGGGGAAGAGGGAGCGGCAGCGGCAAGCGGGUGGGGAAGGCGGAGGGGCCGGUUUAUUUUUAAAUUCUGCCUCCACUCGCUCUCUCGCGCUCUGGUUCCUCCGAGUUGUUUAUUCCAUUUUCCUCUUCCUGAGACGGCCGUCGCCGCUGCGCGUGCGCGCUGAGACGCGAGGGCUUAUGGGUAGCGGGAGCGCUAGGGGAAGCCUGGCCGGCGUCGGGCCCCCGGGGGCAUCCGCGAGCUAUCGGCGGUUGGACCGGCGGCUCUCGGUGGGGUUCCGGACGCGGAUCUGGCGCCGAAUUCUCACGAGACCUGAUACCUUCCUUAUUUGUAUAUUCUCUUACUUAAAAAGCCAGAUGUCUUUUUUUUUUUUUUCAUUGAAAAGAGAAAAUUGACAAGGUAAACGGUCGUUUGGAGGGGCCACCUGGGGACGCGGCCCGAGCCCUGGCUCUACCUGAAGAAUAUCUUCUAUUUGCCACACUUCCUCUCCCCGUUUCCUUUCUUCGCCCCUCUCCUCUUUCCCCUUCCCCUCGAAGGUAAUGAGAACUACUGGACCGAUUACGCUAACCUCUUGGCCCUUUGUCAAAAAAUGGAGCCAAAAAGGUUGAUUUAGACAGACCCCCUGCUCAGUGCAGCACCUGUUAUUCUCUGUAUUUAUAUUACCAAGGGCCUUCGGUAAAUUAUGAAAAAUAGGAUGCCACCUGGGACAACACUGCUUAGACAGCACUGGAAGACCUUUAUAAAUAUACUAGGUUGCUUUUCUCCAAUCAGCCUAGCCUUGAUUUGAAAUUCAUUUUUAUUUUUUUUGAGACGGUGAAAUUCAUUUUUAAAAGAUAGUUUUAACCUCAGCGAUCUCUGAUGUUUGCGCUAAUACCCUUUUAAAGGCUUUCAGAAAUUUUAAAGAAUUGCUAUGAAAGGAAAAGUAACAUUCUAGUUUUUCUCUGUAAAAGAGGUUCACAAACGGCAGAUCGCUGUUAUGAAAAGGAGGGGUGGAAGUAUUUAAGGAAUUGUGGCAAACAAAGUCACAGAAGAAUGGAUAUAAGCAAAAGUAGCACACUGAAAAAAAUGGGGAAAAGUGGAGUCUAGAUCACAAACUGGUAAGCUUGGUGAUGUUCUCUAGCCAAAUUCGAAGGUAAUAACAUUGUAUUAUGGCUUUCUGUUUAAAAGCAGUUUCGCUUAUUUGAUUAUUCAACAAAUCUUUAUUAACACGCAUUACGUGUACCAGAAACUGUGGUACACUUAACUGUGGAGCUGGGGAAGCAAAAGUGAACAUGCCGCCUUAAGUGAGUUCAGAUGGCUUAUCUUCCGGUUGGGGAGGCAUCAAGUACACAGGUCCGUUGUAAACCAGUGUCUUAAGUGCUAACCUUAUCACAUUUGCUAUUAGAGGAUAUUAAACAUGUCAGACUUCUUGGAGAAAGUUGAUAUUUUCAUGUUCCAAGUUUGGGAACAUCAUUGAAUUCAGACAGAUCUGGAUUGAAACAGAUUAAAGUGCCUACACUUUAAUAGCUGUGUUCCUCUCAGUUAAUUGCUUCAUUUCUCUGUGCCUUGUCUGUACACCUGGAUUAAGAAUAGUACCUACUUCAUAAAGUAUAACUAAUAAUGUAUAUAAACUGUCCCAUGCCUAAUAAGAAUUCGGUAGGUUGUAACUAUUAUUAAUAGUAUUGGCCAGGCGCAGUGGCUCACGCCUGUAAUCCCAGCACUUUGGGAGGCCAAGGCGGGUGGAUCACCUGAGAUCAGGAGUUCGAGACCAGUCUGGCCAACCUGGUAAAACACCGUCUCUACAAAAAUACAAAAAAAUUACUGGGCGUGGUGGCGAGCGCCUGUGAUCCCAGCUACUGGGGAGGCUGAGACAUAAGAAUCACUUGAACCUGGGAAGCAGAGGUUGCAGUGAGCCGAGAUCUCGUCAUUGCACGCCAGCCUGGGCGACAGAGCGAGACUCCAUCUCGAAAAAAAAGUAGUAUUGCUGCUAGUGGUAGUCAGUGUAUAGUCAAAGAGCAUUCUAGGCAAACAGCUUUUAUUGUUAGAAUACAGUGAUAGUGGAAAAUGGAGCAGAGUCCACAAAAGUCCUUGUAGGGCCAUGUUAAAGAAUUGAACUUUUGGCCAGGCGCAGUGGCUCACGCCUGUAAUCCCAGCACUUUGGGAGGCUGAGGCGAGCAGAUCACGAGGUCAGGAGUUCAAGACCAGCCUGGCCAACAUGGUGAAACCCCCGUCUCUGCUAAAAAUACAAAAAUUAGCUGGGUGUGGUAGCAGGCACCUGUAAUCUCACCUACUCGGGAGGCUGAGACAGAAGAAUUGCUUGAACCCGGGAGGCAGAGGUUGCAGUGAGAUCGCACCACUGCACUCUAGCCUGGGCGACAGAGCAAGGCUCCAUCUCAAAAAAAAAAAAAAGAAUUGAACUUUUUCUUGAGGACAAUUGGAAGUUAUUACAGGGUUUUUAAAAGUCAACAUGGCAGGGCACAGUGGCUCACACCUCUAACCUCACUGCUUUGGAAGGAAGCCAAGGCAAGAGGAUCACUUGAGGCCGGGAGUUCAAGACCCUCUUGGGAAAACUAGCAAGACCCUGUCUAUACAAAACAAUUUAAAAAUUAGCCAGGUGUAGAGGCACUUGCCUAUAGUCCUAGCUACUGGGGAGGCUGAGGCAGAGGAUCAUUUGGGCUCAGGAGUUCCAGGAUGCAGUGAGCUUUGAAGGCGCCAUUUUAUGCCAACCUGCACAGCAGUGAGACCCUCUCGGUCAAUAAAUAAAAAAUAAACUUAUUUGCCACACAUUUCAUAUCUCCACACUUUUUUAGGAGACAACUACUUAUUCCUAUAGUAGGGUUGUCUUUUUAAGCAGGGUUCAUUGUUGAGUAUUCCUUUACUAAAAAUAAAUAUGUAGUCAACUCUAAGUUAUUUUCAUGUUAAUGAAGAUUACAUCCAAAACUGCAAAUAAUCCAUAAAUUAUUCAUAAAAUGUAUACUUGACCUCCAACAGCAUUUCCCCAGCAACAGAGACUACAUUGCUAAAGGGUAAUGUUAAUUUCUAUUAAAUGCUAAUAAUUGAGGCCAAGCGCAUUGGCUCACACCUGUAAUCCUAGCACUUUGGGAGGCGGAAGUGGGUGGAUCACUUGAGGUAAGGAGUUUGAGACCAGCCUGACCAACGUGGUGAAACCCCGUCUCUACCAAAAAUACAGAAAAUUAGCUAGGCAUGGUGGCAGGCACCUGUAAUCCCAGCUUCUCGGGAGGCUGAGGCAGGAGAAUUGCUUGAACCUGGGAGGCGGAGGUUACAGUGAGCCGAGAUUGCGCCAUUGCAUUCCAGCCUGGGCAACAGAGCGAGACUUCAUCUCAAAAUUAAUAAUAAUAAAGAUUGAGAGGAAAACGUCACAUUUUCUGAAUGGUUAAUUAUUAUAUUAGUGAUAGCAGCCUGAGUCUUAAAAAUUCUCCCUUAAGGACAAGCAUGUGGCUCACACUUAUAAUCCUAACACUUUAGGAGGUCAAGGCAGGAGAAUCACUUGGCUCAGAAGUUCUGAGACCAGCCUAGGCAACAUAGGGAAACACUGUCUCUACAAAAAAAUUUAGCUGGGCAUGGUGGCAUUCUGUGGUCACAGCUACUUGGGAGGCUUAGGUGGGAGGAUUGCUUGGGCCAGGAGGUCGAGGCUGCAGUGACAGCCUAGGUGACAGCAACCCUGGUGUCACCUGGUGAAAAAAAGGUGACCCUGUCUCAAAAAAAAAUAAAAAUUAUCCCUUAAGAUAGAGUGGAAACUGCAUGUGGAUAAAUGAGAGUUGACUGUUUUUGAGUCCUAGAAAUGAAAUUUGCUGCAUAUGUAUAAAUACAUUUCUUACAUAUUUGUAAAGUAUGUUCCUUAUGCACUAAGCUCUAUAAUUUUAUACAAAGUUACUAGCAACUGCUUAAUUUAAUCUUGUUGACAAAUUUUGGGUGCACUAGAAGCAAAAACCUUCCUAUUUGUGGCAGUGAUAAAUAACUGAUACAUGACAGAUUUUUUGGCCAGGCGCAGUGACCCACGCCUGUAAUCCCAGCAUUUUGGGAGUCCAAGGUAGGCGAAUCACUUGAGGCCAGGGUUCCAGAACAGCCAGGCCAACAUGGUGAAACCCCAUCUCUACUAAAAAUACAAAAGUUAGCCAGACGUGGUGGUGCAAGUGCCUGGUGCAAGUGCCUAUAAUCCCAGCUACUCGGGAGGCUGAGGCACGAGAAUCACUUGAACCUGGGAGGCAGAGGUUGCAGUGAGCCAAGAUCGUGCUACUGCACUCCAGCCUGGGUGACAGAGCAAGACUACGUCUCAAAAAAAAGAUUUUUUAAUGUAUCUAUGACCCUUUAUAGAAGACAUAGUCUUUCAUCAUUAUCAUCAUACUUAUGUACUGAUAUAUACUACAUAGGUUUUUUUAGUGUUUAUGGCAGUAAAAGCAAUUUGUUACCUUUCUAUACAAGUUUUCAAAGGAUUUCAAGAUGCUCAUAUUUAUUAUAUUCUUGUGAAAUACAUUAAAGGCAAAUAUGAUUUUGAAAUUAAUUAUAUCUUGGAAAUGGCCCUGACAAUCUAGUAUAUCAUUGGUAUCAUCCCAUACAACUACCACCAGCCAUAUAGAAGUACCUUUAACUUAGCAAAACUCACUAUUACCACUUCUGUUGGUUAAGCACCCCCUACUCCAGAAACUAAUAUUUGUAUGUGAAAUAUGACCAUUAUAAUCUUAAAUCGGAUAAUUCUCUAUUAAUAAUUGAUUUUACUAUUUCAAAGACUAUGUUUAUUUCAGUUUAGAUUUUCUAAUUUAUACUUGGAUGAAAAACUUUAAAUCAGGAGACUUGCUGAAAAAGAUAUGUAUUAAAGCAAGAAUUUUUUUUUUCUUUUUUUUGAGACGGAGUCUCACUCUGUCGCCCAGGCUAGAGUGCAGUGGCGCAAUCUCGGCUCACUGCAAGCUCCACCUCCCGGGUUCACGCCAUUCUCCUGCCUCAGCCUCCUGAGUAGCUGGGAUUACAGGCAUGCGCCACCACCCCCAGCUAAUUUUGUAUUUUUAGUAGAGACGGGGUUUCUCCAUGUUGGCCAGGCUGGUCUCAAACUCCUGACCUCAGGUGAUCCACCCGCCUUGGCCUCCCAAAGUGCUGGGAUUACAGGCAUGAGCCACCGCUCCCGGCCAGAAUUUUUUUUCUUAAUCUUUACAACUUUUCUGUAAAAAGCAAGAAUCUUAAUAAGAUAUACUAUUAAUAAAAUGAAGCUCCCGAAAAAAAAAAAAAAAAACUUUGUCUUUUACUGUCUGUUAACCCUUUCACAUGACCUAUUAUAGAGCAAUAAUAUAAGUGCUAAAAUUUAUUCACAAGGUUUUUUAUUUUAUUUUAUUUUAUUUUGAGACAGAGUCAUGGUCUGUCAUCUAGGCUGGACUGCAGUCGCAUGAUCAUGGCUCACUGCAGCCUCAACCUCUUAGGCUCAAGUGAUCCUCCCACCUCAAAGUAGCUGGGACUACAGGCAUGUGCCGCCAGUCCUGGCAAAUUUUUUAUUUUUUGAAGAGACAGGGUCUCACUGUGUUACCCAGGCUGGUCUUGAACUCCUGAGCUCAAGCAAUCCUCCCACCUCAGCCUCCCAAAAGCUGGGAUUACGAGUGUGAGCCAUCGCAACCGGCCUUAUUUUUCAUUUAUAUUUCUAUUUAUUUAAGAGACAGGGUCUUACUAUGUUGUCCAUGCUGGCCUCAAACUCCUGGGCUUAAAGGAUCCUCCUGCUUCAGCCUCCCAAGUAGCUGGGACUACAGGCACUUAAAUAGCCAGACUACAGUCUUAACUAUUUUUAUUAUUAAAAAAGAAUUAAUAAUAACAGACUUUAACACAAGGACAAAAAUGAAUCAAGAGCAAGGAGGAAAAGGGAAUGUGUCAUAAAGCAAAGGCUGAAAUUAAUAAAAUGGAAAACAUUAAAAAUCUUAAACCAAACUUUCGUUAUUUUUAAAUAACAAUAAAAAUAGAUACACUCUUGACAAGUCUAAGAAUGGUAAAAAGAAAGAAAAAUACACAUCAUUAGUAUCUUCAGUACACUUAUAGAAAAUAACUAACUGCCAGUCUAGCAUUCAAU